Molecule: ribosomal RNA, 434 nt
Filed under: uncultured bacterium
Lineage: Bacteria
Description: bacterial SSU rRNA
Rfam family: Bacterial small subunit ribosomal RNA
Source: RNAcentral
AACGCGAAGAACCUUACCUGGUCUUGACAUCCACGGAAGUUUUCAGAGAUGAGAAUGUGCCUUCGGGAACCGUGAGACAGGUGCUGCAUGGCUGUCGUCAGCUCGUGUUGUGAAAUGUUGGGUUAAGUCCCGCAACGAGCGCAACCCUUAUCCUUUGUUGCCAGCGGUCCGGCCGGGAACUCAAAGGAGACUGUUAGUGAUAAACUGGAGGAAGGUGGGGAUGACGUCAAGUCAUCAUGGCCCUUACGACCAGGGCUACACACGUGCUACAAUGGCGCAUACAAAGAGAAGCGACCUCGCGAGAGCAAGCGGACCUCAUAAAGUGCGUCGUAGUCCGGAUUGGAGUCUGCAACUCGACUCCAUGAAGUCGGAAUCGCUAGUAAUCGUGGAUCAGAAUGCCACGGUGAAUACGUUCCCGGGUCUUGUACACACCG